UCUCUUCCUAUAUAACCUUACAACUUACUGAACUUCCUCUAUAGCUUUCUUCAGUUAAGGUAAGAUAACUCAUCGGUCUUUUUUUUUCUUCUUCAACUGCCUUAACGACUUUCCAAAUUUCUUGUUCAGAAAAUAUUUCCCAUGCUUCAAUUUUUUUCCUCACCUUCUUUUACUCAUCAUUAUUUUCAUUAAAUCAAAUCAUUUACCUUAAUAUGCAUAUUUUUUUCAAUAUUUUUAUUAAUUUAAAUAAUUUAUGAUUAAUUACUCGUGUGAAAGAAUUCAAAUAUUAUGAUAUGCAAGUGAUUUACUAUAAUUAUUUGUUAUUUCAUAAAGUUUAUUUCUUAAUUAAUGUAAAUGAAAGUUUCCUGUUUGCAUAAUGUUUCUAUCAAUUCUUAAAGUUUCUCUAUGAAUUUGAGGUAAAAACCAGUCGGUGAGAAAAUAAUGAAAAACAGAUAAAAGAUAAGUUGAAGUUCGGAGGAAAGGUAUGUUCUUAAUAUUGUUAUUAUGUUAUAAUUUGAAAUUUAUUGAUAUAGUUAUGAUCGUUUUCUUGAAUGUGAAGACGACUGGUUUUAUAUCUCGUUCGAAACUAUUAAUUUAUAAAUAAAAAUUAUUUAUCUUUUUGACAAUUGGUUUUAUGUCUUGUUUGAAACUAUUAAUUUAUAAAUAAAGAUUUUUUUUACUAUUGGUUGAAAUCUCGUUUGAAACUAUUAAUUUAUAAAUAUAUAUUUAUCUUUUUAUAAUAAUUUAUUUACAUAAUUAAUAAUAUUGUGUGUAAAUUUUUAUUAGUUUUUAGUAGAUGGCAUUUACACAUAUAAAUUAAAAACAUACAAUUAUAACUGUAUGAACUUAUAUUUUUACAAAUAUUAAUUGUGAAUGUUUGUUCAUGAAAAUGUAAUAUUACUGGCUAUUGAUAUUGUUGUUAAAAACUUAAUAUUAACACUAUAAACGGUAUAUUGAGUAUUUUAGUAAAAUUUCCUUCUAUUUCUUAAGUUAAAUCUGAUUUAAGUAAAUUGGAUAUUUUUCUCUCUCUUAAAAGUUACAACUCUUAUAAUUAAAAUAAAAAUAUUAACAUUAUUCUUAGAUUGAAGAUGGCGAAACAUAACAUUUUUUUUAAUAAUUGAUCAAUUGAUUAGAACUGAAGAUAAAGUAUGAAAAAUGAGUAUAUUCACAAUUUUGUAGGUUCUAUGAUAAUUAAACUUGUUAUUUGGAAGACUUUAUAAUUUUAUAUGUUAUUUAAAAUUGUAUAAAUUUAUUAUAUUAUUUUCUUUAAAUCAAAAUAUCUAUAAUUAAAAAUAAAUAAAUAAAGUGAAAAACAAAGGUUUAUUAAAAAAUUAGUAUUUUAUUAAAAUUAUCAAGUAAAGAAAAUAUUAUUGGUAUUUUAUGUCAAUAUUUAUUAUUGCUUUAAUUUUGUUUUUAAAAAAUAUUUAAUAUUUUAAAAAGCGUGAAGAUUUAUUUUGGUUCCUGGAUAUUGAAUUGCUUUUUAAUCUUACGACAUAUACUAUUAAUUUAUCUAUGCACUAUUAUGAAUAAUUGAUUUUAAUUUGAUAUAAAAAUGAAUUUUAUUUCGGUUUAUUCGUCGAGAUAAAAAAGGUUUAUUCGUCAAGAUAAAGAAGGAUGUUAUGGAAAAUACGUCAUUCUUUUUUUAAAUUGAUAUAACAACCAUGGGAACAUUGGUAUCAAUCAUAAAUUCGAUCUUUAAUAAUUGCAGUUUUGUAUUUUUAAAAUUGAAAAAUACGUGUUAUUUUCUCUCUGGAUUGCUUUUAAUAUUUGAGGUGAAAUGUAAAUAUUUAUCUAAGUAGGAGUUACAAUUGACAAGAUUUUUUUUUCAAUAUUACAUCAUUUUUAUUUUGACCUUUACAUAUACACGUGUUGUGAUCGAACCUACAUGCACAAGUUUUUAACAAACAACAAGGUAGAAUGCAUAUGUUUUCAACAAGGUAGUAUACCAGUCAUGAGCAUAUGUUCUGAAAAUUAUAUACAUAUUUUCUGAUAGAAUGCAUAUGUUUUCAACAAGGUAGUAUCCCAGUCAUGAGCAUUUUAUAUAUAAAAAAUUAAAGGUGAGAAAAACAAGAAAGGGGGGGUUUGAAUUGUUUGGAAAAAUAAGCGCUUUUCAAAAUGAAAAUCACACAAUGAUUUUAUACUGGUUCGCUUAUAACACAAAGCUACUCCAGUCCACCCGGCAGCCAAGGUGAUUUCGCCUUCAACAAGGACUUAAUCCACUAAUCUUGAAAGAUUACAAACAACGUCUAAGAUAAAAAAUCUUAGCCCUCUCAAGUAUACAGACUACACAGAGUCACUGAGGAAAUCAACAAACAAUAGAAGAAGGAUUAUGUAAACUAGAGUGCUUCUAAGAAAGCAAGUAUUACAAAAUUAAGAAACAGAGUUUUUCACGUUAUAAGCAAAAGCUUCGUGAAGAUCUUAGAGAGAAAGAACGUUUUCUUGUGUUGAUGUUUCAGUAUGAUUUUCCUUGUAUGUGUGUAGUGUUUGAAAUGUUGAUUUGCAAUCCUUUAUAUAGAUCAAUGAAGUAGUAGUUGAAACUGAUGGAUAUUGAGAUGAAGUUACGCCAUCACAUAAAUAGCU
This 2580-nucleotide long non-coding RNA is filed under the name Lathyrus oleraceus (garden pea). RNAcentral describes it as "Pisum sativum (pea) long non-coding RNA (PSAT_LNC035405)". The record is from RNAcentral. Lineage: Eukaryota; Viridiplantae; Streptophyta; Magnoliopsida; Fabales; Fabaceae.